CCUCUUAGUUCCACAACAACCAGUCCCUCUUAGUUCCACAACAACCAGUCCCUCUUAGUUCCACAACAACAAGUCCCUCUUAGUUCCACAACAACCAGUCCCUCUUAGUUCCACAACAACCAGUCCCUCUUAGUUCCACAACAACCAGUCCCUCUUAGUUCCACAACAACCAGUCCCUCUUAGUUCCACAACAACCAGUCCCUCUUAGUUCCACAACAACCAGUCCCACUUAGUUCCACAACAACCAGUCCCUCUUAGUUCCACAACAACCAGUCCCUCUUAGUUCCACAACAACCAGUCCCUCUUCACUCCACAACAACCAGUCCCUCUUAGUUCCACAGCAACCAGUCCCUCUUAGUUCCACAACAACCAGUCCCUCUUAGUUUCACAGCAACCAGUCCCUGUUAGCUAAGACAGUACGUUCCCAAUAAAAACAUAAUUCCACCUUGACAUUAUGGGGUAGAUCAGUGACAAAACAAUCUUCCUUUCAAUCCAUUUCAAAUUCAGGCUGUAAACACAACAAACAUUAGGAUAAAGUCAACGGGUGUGAAGGCUCAAAGUAAACAAAACAUUAUGAACACCUGCUCUUUCCAUGACAGACUGACCAGGUGAAUCCAGGUGAAAGCUGUCAUCCCUUAUUGAUGUCACCUGUUAAAUCCACUUCAAUCAGUGUAGAUGAAUGGGAGGAGACGGGAUAAAGGAAGGAUUUUUAAGCCUUGAGACAUGGAUUGUGUCUGUGUGUCAUUCAGAGGGUGAAUGGGCAAGACAAAAUAUUUAAGUGCCUUUGAACGGGGUAUGGUAGUAGGAGGUGCCUUUGAACAGGGUAUGGUAGUAGGUGCCUUUGAACAGGGUAUGGUAGUAGGUGCCUUUGAACAGGGUGUGGUAGUAGGUGCCUUUGAAUGGGGGUAUGGUAGUAGGUGCCUUUGAACAGGGUGUGGUAGUAGGUGCCAGGCACACUGGUUGUGUCAAGAACUGCAACGCUGCUGAGUUUUUCACACUCAACAGUUUCCCGUGUGUAUCAAGAAUUGUCAACCACCUAGAGAAGUUCCAGCCAACUUGACGCAAUUGUGGAAAGCAUUGGAGUCAACAUGGGCCAGCAUCCCUGUGGAACGCUUUCAACACCUUGUAGAGGGGGGUGGAGCAACUCAAUAUUAGGAAGCUGUUCUUAAUGUUUUGUUCACUCAAUGUAGAUUGUACAGUAUAGUACAUUCCCUGAACAAAAGCAGGAUCUAGAUUAUACAGCUCUAUCUGAACAGAUGCUGGCAAACCUAAAGAGUCAUUCCAUUUGAUUCUUGAUGACAGUCCAUGAUGCUGCUAAACCUAAAGAGUCAUUCCAUUUGAUUCUUGAUGACAGUCCAUGAUGCUGCUAAACCUAAAGAGUCAUUCCAUUUGAUUCUUGAUGACAGUCCAUGAUGCUGCUAAACCUAAAGAGUCACUCCAUUUGAUUCUCGAUGACAGUCCCUGAUGCUGCUAAACCUAAAGAGUCACUCCAUUUGAUUCUUGAUGACAGUCCCUGAUGCUGCUAAACCUAAAGAGUCACUCCAUUUG
Oncorhynchus tshawytscha (Chinook salmon) is the source of this 1548-nucleotide long non-coding RNA. The record is from Ensembl. Lineage: Eukaryota; Metazoa; Chordata; Actinopteri; Salmoniformes; Salmonidae.